CGUUGGCACUGGAUGCCUGAUGGGAGGGGCAGAAUCAUCCAAUAUCAAUGCAAUUCCUAACCUGGGAGGUCCAUUAUCAUCACUGCAGCACUAGGACAGAGUGACGGACAACUAACCCCAGCAAUUACUGCGACCAGACAACCCCAACAAACUAGCCUGUAAUCACCACUAUCAACCAAAGCGGGAUGGGGGGGUGAAAGAGUCCUGAGAGGAACCUGGUCUGCCCCCGCCCCCUGUUUGCCCACCACCCCCUGAGACCAAAGGAGGAUUGCGAAAGAAACCACUGAAUGCAUGUUCUCUGCUAUAAAACAUUCCCGUUCAGUGAUGGUCCUCGGCUCAUCUUGCAUGUAAAUCAGAGUUUUGUAUGCUUGAUGACCACAGCAACAGUCAUGUGACAGGAAAGCACAUGGCUGGAGGAGUUAGCACCACGGAGGAAACUGAAAUUGGAAGAAAUCGAAGUAACUUUUUUUGUGUGUUUUUAAAUAAAGAAUAUGUUUCCUGGUUUCCAAACAGGUUGUAUUUCAUUUACAUGUACAAAAAAAUAAGGAACAGCAUAUUUUUUAUGGUGCAUUUUGUGUACAUUUAAUGCUAACGCUAAACAGAUAUUAGCAUGCUAACAUAUCAAAAGAUUUUUUGAUGUCAUUUCCACAAUAGUCACACUUUGUUU
This is a long non-coding RNA of Epinephelus moara (kelp grouper), 667 nucleotides long. RefSeq lists it as uncharacterized. The record is from RefSeq and is a predicted model, not a curated record. Lineage: Eukaryota; Metazoa; Chordata; Actinopteri; Perciformes; Serranidae. The transcript is spliced from 4 exons.